RNAcentral lists this transfer RNA (66 nucleotides) under marine eukaryotic metagenome. It matches the Rfam family "tRNA". From Rfam's summary of the family: Transfer RNA (tRNA) molecules are approximately 80 nucleotides in length. Their secondary structure includes four short double-helical elements and three loops (D, anti-codon, and T loops). The record is from RNAcentral.
AACUUAGCUCAGUUGGUAGAGCAGCUGAUUUGUAAUCAGCCGGUCGUCGGUUCGAGUCCGACAGUU